Molecule: ribosomal RNA, 236 nt
Filed under: uncultured bacterium
Lineage: Bacteria
Description: partial 16S ribosomal RNA
Rfam family: Bacterial small subunit ribosomal RNA
Source: RNAcentral
GAUCCUGGCUCAGAUUGAACGCUGGCGGCAGGCCUAACACAUGCAAGUCGAACGGUAACAGGAAGCAGCUUGCUGCUUCGCUGACGAGUGGCGGACGGGUGAGUAAUGUCUGGGAAGCUGCCUGAUGGAGGGGGAUAACUACUGGAAACGGUAGCUAAUACCGCAUAAUGUCGCAAGACCAAAGAGGGGGACCGUUCGGGCCGUCUUGCCAUCGGAUGUGCCCAGAUGGGAGUUAG